RNAcentral lists this ribosomal RNA (595 nucleotides) under uncultured crenarchaeote. Its description in RNAcentral is "bacterial SSU rRNA". It matches the Rfam family "Archaeal small subunit ribosomal RNA", at positions 287 to 884 of the family's 1478-position model. Lineage: Archaea; Thermoproteati; Thermoproteota. The record is from RNAcentral.
AGCCCGGAGAUGGACACUGAGACAAGGGUCCAGGCCCUAAGGGGCGCAGCAACCGCGAAACCUCCACAAUGCACUCACGUGCGAUGGGGCUAUCUCGAGUGCCACCUGAUGAAGGUGGCUUUUCCUUGGUCUUCAAAGCCGUGGGAAUAAGAGGGGGGCAAGACUGGUGUCAGCCGCCGCGGUAACACCAGCCCCUCGAGUGGUGGGGAUGAUUACUUGGCCUAAAGCGUCCGUAGCCGGCCGAGCAAGUCUUCCGUUAAAUCCAGCGUCUCAAGCGUUGGACCGCGGGAGAUACUACACGGCUAGAGAGUGGGAGAGGUCAGCGGUAUUCUGGGGGUAGGGGCGAAAUCCUUUGAUCCCCGGAGGACCACCAGUGGCGAAGGCUGCUGACUAGAACACGUCUGACGGUCAGGGACGAAAGCUGGGGUAGCGAACCGGAUUAGAUACCCGGGUAGUCCCAGCCGUAAACGAUGCAUGCUAGGUGUUGGGUUGGCCACGAGCCACCCCAGUGCCGCAGGGAAGCCGUUAAGCAUGCCGCCUGGGAAGUACGAUCGCAAGAUUGAAACUUAAAGGAAUUGGCGGGGGAGCACAAUCG